RNAcentral lists this ribosomal RNA (1161 nucleotides) under Psilolomia parva. RNAcentral's name for it is "SSU rRNA". It matches the Rfam family "Eukaryotic small subunit ribosomal RNA", at positions 20 to 1084 of the family's 1831-position model. The record is from RNAcentral. Lineage: Eukaryota; Metazoa; Arthropoda; Insecta; Hemiptera; Coreidae.
GUAGUCAUAUGCUUGUCUCAAAGCUUAAGCCAUGCAAGUCUCAGUACGAGCUGACUUAAAGUGAAACCGCAAAAGGCUCAGUAAACCGGUCAUAGUUUACCGGAUAUAUGCCACUCACGUGGAUAACUGUGGUAAUUCUAGAGCUAAUACAUGCAAACAAGUCCCGACCAGCGAUGGAGAGGACGCUUUUAUUGGAUCAAAACCAUUCGCCCGAGUAAUCGGGCGUCGGCUUGAUGACUCUAGAUAACACCACAGAUCGCACGGUCACAGUACCGGUGACAUAUCCUUCAAAUGUCUGACUUAUCAGCUGUCGAUGGUAGACUCUGUGUCUACCAUGGCGCUCACGGGUGACGGGGAAUCAGGGUUCGAUUCCGGAGAGGGAGCCUGAGAAACGGCUACCACAUCCAAGGAAGGCAGCAGGCACGCAAAUUACCCACUCCCGGCACGGGGAGGUAGUGACAAAAAAUAACGAUACGGGACUCAUCCGAGGCCCCGUAAUCGGAAUGAGAACACCCUAAAUCCUUUAACGAGGAUCUAUUGGAGGGCAAGUCUGGUGCCAGCAGCCGCGGUAAUUCCAGCUCCAAUAGCGUAUAUUAAAGUUGUUGCGGUUAAAAAGCUCGUAGUUGGUUCUGCGUGCCACGCUGUCGGUUCACCGCCUGCCGGUGCAACUGGCAUGCCGUGGCAUGUCCUGUCGGUGGCGGAUAGGCUUCGCGGAGCGCCCUAUGCGUUACCAACGUGUAGGUUGUCGCCUCGCGUUGUCCUUGUACGCCGGCUCAAUCCUACCGCGGUGCUCUUUACCGAGUGUCGAGGUAGGCCGACACUGUUUACUUUGAACAAAUUAGAGUGCUUAAAGCAGGCUCUUAAAUCAGCCUGAAUAGUGGUGCAUGGAAUAAUGGAACAGGACCUUGGUUCUAUUUUGUUGGUUUUCGGAAUCCAAGGUAAUGAUCAAUAAGGACAGGCGGGGGCAUUCGUAUUGCGACGUUAGAGGUGAAAUUCUUGGAUCGUCGCAAGACGCACUAGAGCGAAAGCAUUUGCCAAGUAUGUCUUAAUUGAUCAAGAACGAAAGUUAGAGGUUCGAAGGCGAUCAGAUACCGCCCUAGUUCUAACCAUAAACGAUGCCAGCCAGCGAUCCGCCGACGUUCCUCCGAUGACUCGGCGGGG